GCAUAUCAAUAAGCGGAGGAAAAGAAACCAACAGGGAUUGCCUUAGUAACGGCGAGUGAAGCGGCAACAGCUCAAAUUUGAAAGCUGGCCCUUUUAGGGUCCGCGUUGUAAUUUGUAGAGGAUGAUUCGGCGAGGGCUCCUGCCUAAGUCCCCUGGAACGGGGCGUCAUAGAGGGUGAGAAUCCCGUAUGCGGUAGGUUGCCUUAGCCAUGUGAAUCUCCUUCGACGAGUCGAGUUGUUUGGGAAUGCAGCUCUAAAUGGGAGGUAAAUUUCUUCUAAAGCUAAAUACUGGCCAGAGACCGAUAGCGCACAAGUAGAGUGAUCGAAAGAUGAAAAGCACUUUGGAAAGAGAGUUAAAAAGUACGUGAAAUUGUUGAAAGGGAAGCGCUUGCAACCAGACUUGUCCGCAGUUGCUCAGCCGGUCUCCUGACCGGCGUACUCUUCUGCGGCCAGGCCAGCAUCAGUUCGGGCGGUCGGAUAAAGGCCUCGGGAAUGUAGCUCCUCUCGGGGAGUGUUAUAGCCCGGGGUGGAAUGCGACC
This 538-nucleotide ribosomal RNA is filed under the name Lasiodiplodia iranensis. RNAcentral describes it as "partial large subunit ribosomal RNA". It matches the Rfam family "Eukaryotic large subunit ribosomal RNA", at positions 38 to 580 of the family's 3401-position model. Lineage: Eukaryota; Fungi; Ascomycota; Dothideomycetes; Botryosphaeriales; Botryosphaeriaceae. The record is from RNAcentral.